RNAcentral lists this ribosomal RNA (214 nucleotides) under Campeiostachys nutans. Its description in RNAcentral is "Elymus nutans partial small subunit ribosomal RNA". The stretch from base 37 to 214 matches the Rfam family "Eukaryotic small subunit ribosomal RNA", at positions 684 to 864 of the family's 1831-position model. The record is from RNAcentral. Lineage: Eukaryota; Viridiplantae; Streptophyta; Magnoliopsida; Poales; Poaceae.
GGACCAUCAUGUCGGUCGUGCCUCGGUACGUACUGGUAUUGUUGGUUUCUCCCUUCUGACGAACCAUGAUGUCAUUUAUUUGGUGUUGUGGGAAAUCAGGACUGUUACUUUGAAAAAUUAGAGUGUUUAAAGCAAGCUAACGCUUGAAUACAUUAGCAUGGAAUAAUGAAAUAGGACGUUUGACCCUAUUUUGUUGGUUUCUAGAGUCGCCGUA